Molecule: long non-coding RNA, 348 nt
Filed under: Brassica napus (rape)
Lineage: Eukaryota; Viridiplantae; Streptophyta; Magnoliopsida; Brassicales; Brassicaceae
Description: long non-coding RNA (BNAP_LNC015349)
Source: RNAcentral
UCCCCCUUGAUCAUCCAUCUUGUAUUACGUGGUGCCUCGUUAAAAACUUAGUCAUGGAAAACCCAAUGGGAAAAACCGUAGUAAAAGUAAAAAGAGUACAACUACGUAAGCUCCCCCUCGAAUGAGUAGUCAUAGAACCUUUAGAACAAUGAUAGAUUUUCAUUUCUCAAAUUGUAACAUUCUCUUUGGGUGUCUAUCUUUUGUAUGUUCUUUGUUGCCUCGUUAAAACCUUGUCAUGGAAAACCCCAAUGGGAUAAAAAAAAAACCAUGAUAAGGAAAAAGAGUACAACCACACUUACUAUCGUAUUUCUUUCUCUGGAAACAAUAUCUUCAGGAUAUGCAUUCCAA